UGCCAAACGGGCUGUAAAAGUAGCCAUUGACCUAAAUCAACCACCUUUAAAAAUACUAGUGAGAGAGAGAGAGAGUCACCGUUACUCUUCCGUCGCCAGAAUCGUAAACACGCCGACGAUAUCCCUAAUGUAUUGGUUUCUUACCAUUUCUUGGCUUUGAUAUUCCUCUGUGCGUAUCGGUUUUGUUAAAGUUUAUUCUCCUAAUUAGAAACAUCCUUUUCUGGUGGUCAAUCUUUUUUAUUAGAGAGAGACAGAAGUGAGUAGAGAAAGAAGCUAGGGUUUACAGGAAUUGUGAGGUUCGGAUUUGUAUUGGCUACGAUGGACGAAAUCGGUGCUCGACGAUAUAAUUCGGCGGCUUCUUGAUGCGAAGAAGGGCGUUUUCCGAAGCAGGUGCAUCUGACGGAAGGCGGAGAUUCGGAAU
Molecule: long non-coding RNA, 421 nt
Filed under: Actinidia chinensis (golden kiwifruit)
Lineage: Eukaryota; Viridiplantae; Streptophyta; Magnoliopsida; Ericales; Actinidiaceae
Description: long non-coding RNA (ACHI_LNC008686)
Source: RNAcentral